UUUCCCUCAGGAUAGCAGCAACUUAUUUACGAUAGUUUUAUGAGGUAAAGCGAAUGAUUAGAGGAUUCGGGGAAGAAACUUCCUCGACCUAUUCUCAAACUUUAAAUCUGUAAGACCUGCAGGUUUCUUAAUUGAACUUGUGGAUGUGAAUAUCAAGUUGCUAGUGGGCCAUACGGGGUAAGCUCGUCUGGCGAUGCGGGAUGAACCG
RNAcentral lists this non-coding RNA (208 nucleotides) under Phytophthora infestans T30-4. Its description in RNAcentral is "Eukaryotic large subunit ribosomal RNA". It matches the Rfam family "Eukaryotic large subunit ribosomal RNA", at positions 967 to 1170 of the family's 3401-position model. The record is from Rfam by way of RNAcentral. Lineage: Eukaryota; Oomycota; Peronosporomycetes; Peronosporales; Peronosporaceae.